RNAcentral lists this ribosomal RNA (403 nucleotides) under Verrucomicrobiota bacterium. RNAcentral describes it as "Verrucomicrobia bacterium partial 16S ribosomal RNA". It matches the Rfam family "Bacterial small subunit ribosomal RNA", at positions 355 to 776 of the family's 1533-position model. The record is from RNAcentral. Lineage: Bacteria; Pseudomonadati; Verrucomicrobiota.
UGGGGAAUAUUGCACAAUGGGCGCAAGCCUGAUGCAGCAACGCCGCGUGAACGAUGAAGGUCUUCGGAUCGUAAAGUUCUGUUGCAGGGGAAGAUAAUGACGGUACCCUGUGAGGAAGCCCCGGCUAACUACGUGCCAGCAGCCGCGGUAAUACGUAGGGGGCUAGCGUUAUCCGGAUUUACUGGGCGUAAAGGGUGCGUAGGUGGUCUUUCAAGUCGGUGGUUAAAGGCUACGGCUCAACCGUAGUUAGCCUCCGAAACUGGAAGACUUGAGUGCAGGAGAGGUAAGUGGAAUUUUUAGUGUAGCGGUGAAAUGCGUAGAUAUUAAAAAGAAUACCGGUGGCGAAGGCGACUUACUGGGCUCAUUCUGACGCUGAGGAACGAAAGCGUGGGUAGCAAACAGG